GGGUAGCUCAGUCAGUUAGAGCCUAGUGCUAAUAACGCCAAGGCUGCAGGUUCAAUCCCUGUUUGGGAUA
Non-coding RNA from Podarcis lilfordi (Lilford's wall lizard), 70 nucleotides. NCBI's taxonomy places the organism in Eukaryota, Metazoa, Chordata, Lepidosauria, Squamata, Lacertidae. The record is from the annotation of a GenBank genome assembly.